This is a non-coding RNA of Brochothrix thermosphacta, 143 nucleotides long. The record is from Rfam. Lineage: Bacteria; Bacillati; Bacillota; Bacilli; Caryophanales; Listeriaceae.
AUGAUUCUUCGGGGCAGGGUGUAAUUCCCGACCGGCGGUGACAAAAAUAUUAUUUUUGAAGUCCGUGAACCAUAAUUUCGAUUGUGGUUGAUUCAGUGAAAAUCUGAAACCGACAGUUAAAGUCUGGAUGGGAGAAGUAAUCA